RNAcentral lists this ribosomal RNA (253 nucleotides) under uncultured bacterium. Its description in RNAcentral is "partial 16S ribosomal RNA". It matches the Rfam family "Bacterial small subunit ribosomal RNA", at positions 524 to 776 of the family's 1533-position model. The record is from RNAcentral.
UACGAAGGGGGCUAGCGUUGUUCGGAAUUACUGGGCGUAAAGCGUGCGCAGGCGGCUUCUCAAGUCAGGGGUGAAAGCCCAGAGCUCAACUCUGGAAUUGCCUUUGAGACUGAGUGGCUUGAGUACGAGAGAGGUGAGUGGAAUUCCCAGUGUAGAGGUGAAAUUCGUAGAUAUCGGGAGGAACACCUGUGGCGAAAGCGGCGCACUGGACCAUAACUGACGCUGAUGCGCGAAAGCUAGGGGAGCAAACAGG